CCUACGGGAGGCAGCAGUGGGGAAUAUUGGGCAAUGGGCGCAAGCCUGACCCAGCAACGCCGUGUGAGGGAUGAAGGCCUUCGGGUCGUAAACCUCUGUCAGAAGGGAAGAAUGGGCAUAGUUCGAAUAGGGCUAUGUUGUGACGGUACCUUCAGAGGAAGCACCGGCUAACUCCGUGCCAGCAGCCGCGGUAAUACGGAGGGUGCGAGCGUUAUUCGGAAUCACUGGGCGUAAAGGGCGCGUAGGCGGUCUGGUAAGUAGGGGGUGAAAUCCCACGGCCCAACCGGGGAACUGCCUUUGAAACUGCUGGGCUUGGAUCCUGGAGAGGGUGGCGGAAUUCCUGGUGUAGGAGUAAAAUCCGUAGAUAUCAGGAGGAACACCGGUGGCGAAGGCGGCCACCGG
Molecule: ribosomal RNA, 402 nt
Filed under: uncultured Desulfomicrobiaceae bacterium
Lineage: Bacteria; Pseudomonadati; Thermodesulfobacteriota; Desulfovibrionia; Desulfovibrionales; Desulfomicrobiaceae
Description: partial 16S ribosomal RNA
Rfam family: Bacterial small subunit ribosomal RNA
Source: RNAcentral